GACGUAGGAGGCGAGCGUUGUCCGGAAUCAUUGGGCGUAAAGCGCGCGUAGGCGGCCCGGUAAGUCCGCUGUAAAAGUCAAAGGCUCAACCUUUGAAUGUCAGUGGAUACUGCCGGGCUAGAGUCCGGAAGAGGCGAGUGGAACUCCUGGUGUAGCGGUGGAAUGCGCAGAUAUCAGGAAGAACACCGACGGCGAAGGCAGCUCGCUGGGACGGUACUGACGCUGAGGCGCGAAAGCGUGGGGAGCGAACAGG
This 253-nucleotide ribosomal RNA is filed under the name uncultured bacterium. RNAcentral's name for it is "partial 16S ribosomal RNA". It matches the Rfam family "Bacterial small subunit ribosomal RNA", at positions 524 to 776 of the family's 1533-position model. The record is from RNAcentral.